Molecule: ribosomal RNA, 440 nt
Filed under: uncultured bacterium
Lineage: Bacteria
Description: partial 16S ribosomal RNA
Rfam family: Bacterial small subunit ribosomal RNA
Source: RNAcentral
CCUACGGGUGGCAGCAGUGGGGGAUAUUGGACAAUGGGGGAAACCCUGAUCCAGCGAUGCCGCGUGCGGGAAGAAGGUUCUAGGAUUGUAAACCUCUGUGGAGAGGGAGGAUAAUGACGGUACCUCUUUAGGAAGGCACGGCUAACUCCGUGUCAGCAGGCGUGGUAAUACGUAGGUGGCGAGCGUUGUCCGGAAUUACUGGGUGUAAAGGGAGUGUAGGCGGGAAAGCAAGUCAGAAGUGAAAAGUAUGGGCUUAACCCAGAGCCUGCUUCUGAAACUGUUGGUCUUGAGUUAAGUAGAGGCAGGCGGAAUGUCUGGUGUAGCGGUGAAAUGCGUAGAGAUUAGAAAGAACACCAGUGGCGAAGGCAGCUUACUGGGCUUUUACUGACGCUGAGGCUCGAAAGCGUGGGGAGCAAACAGGAUUAGAUACCCGUGUAGUC